This 433-nucleotide ribosomal RNA is filed under the name uncultured bacterium. Its description in RNAcentral is "partial 16S ribosomal RNA". It matches the Rfam family "Bacterial small subunit ribosomal RNA", at positions 29 to 507 of the family's 1533-position model. The record is from RNAcentral.
AACGAACGCUGGCGGCAUGCCUAACACAUGCAAGUCGAACGAGACCUUCGGGUCUAGUGGCGCACGGGUGCGUACCGCGUGGGAACCUGCCCUUAGGUUCGGAAUAACUCCCCGAAAGGGGUGCUAAUACCGGUUAAUGUCUUCGGACCAAAGAUUUAUCGCCUUUGGAUGGGCCCGCGUUGGAUUAGCUAGUUGGUAGGGUAAAAGCCUACCAAGGCGACGAUCCAUAGCUGGUCUGAGAGGAUGAUCAGCCACACUGGGACUGAGACACGGCCCAGACUCCUACGGGAGGCAGCAGUGGGGAAUAUUGGACGAUGGGCGAAAGCCUGAUCCAGCAAUGCCGCGUGAGUGAUGAAGGCCUUAGGGUUGUAAAGCUCUUUUACCCGGGAUGAUAAUGACAGUACCGGGAGAAUAAGCUCCGGCUAACUCCGUG